GUGACUGCGUACCUUUUGUAUAAUGGGUCAGCGACUUAUAUUCUGUAGCAAGGUUAACCGAAUAGGGGAGCCGGAGGGAAACCGAGUCUUAACCGGGCGUUAAGUUGCAGGGUAUAGACCCGAAACCCGGUGAUCUAGCCAUGGGCAGGUUGAAGGUUGGGUAACACUAACUGGAGGACCGAACCGACUAAUGUUGAAAAAUUAGCGGAUGACCUGUGGCUGGGGGUGAAAGGCCAAUCAAACCGGGAGAUAGCUGGUUCUCCCCGAAAGCUAUUUAGGUAGCGCCUCGUGAACUCAUCUCCGGGGGUAGAGCACUGUUUCGGCUAGGGGGCCAUCCCGGCUUACCAACCCGAUGCAAACUGCGAAUACCGGAGAAUGUUAUCACGGGAGACACACGGCGGGUGCUAACGUCCGUCGUGAAGAGGGAAACAACCCAGACCGCCAGCUAAGGUCCCAAAGUCAUGGUUAAGUGGGAAACGAUGUGGGAAGGCCCAGACAGCCAGGAUGUUGGCUUAGAAGCAGCCAUCAUUUAAAGAAAGCGUAAUAGCUCACUGGUCGAGUCGGCCUGCGCGGAAGAUGUAACGGGGCUAAACCAUGCACCGAAGCUGCGGCAGCGACACUCAGGUGUUGUUGGGUAGGGGAGCGUUCUGUAAGCCUGCGAAGGUGGCCUGUGAGGGUUGCUGGAGGUAUCAGAAGUGCGAAUGCUGACAUAAGUAACGAUAAAGCGGGUGAAAAGCCCGCUCGCCGGAAGACCAAGGGUUCCUGUCCAACGUUAAUCGGGGCAGGGUGAGUCGACCCCUAAGGCGAGGCCGAAAGGCGUAGUCGAUGGGAAACGGGUUAAUAUUCCCGUACUUGGUGUUACUGCGAAGGGGGGACGGAGAAGGCUAUGUUGGCCGGGCGACGGUUGUCCCGGUUUAAGCGUGUAGGUGUGUGUUCCAGGUAAAUCCGGUUCACUUUAACACUGAGGCGUGAUGACGAGGCACUACGGUGCUGAAGCAACAAAUGCCCUGCUUCCAGGAAAAGCCUCUAAGCAUCAGGUAACAUCAAAUCGUACCCCAAACCGACACAGGUGGUCAGGUAGAGAAUACCAAGGCGCUUGAGAGAACUCGGGUGAAGGAACUAGGCAAAAUGGUGCCGUAACUUCGGGAGAAGGCACGCUGACACGUAGGUGAAGUGAUUUACUCAUGGAGCUGAAGUCAGUCGAAGAUACCAGCUGGCUGCAACUGUUUAUUAAAAACACAGCACUGUGCAAACACGAAAGUGGACGUAUACGGUGUGACGCCUGCCCGGUGCCGGAAGGUUAAUUGAUGGGGUCAGCGCAAGCGAAGCUCCUGAUCGAAGCCCCGGUAAACGGCGGCCGUAACUAUAACGGUCCUAAGGUAGCGAAAUUCCUUGUCGGGUAAGUUCCGACCUGCACGAAUGGCGUAAUGAUGGCCAGGCUGUCUCCACCCGAGACUCAGUGAAAUUGAACUCGCUGUGAAGAUGCAGUGUACCCGCGGCAAGACGGAAAGACCCCGUGAACCUUUACUAUAGCUUGACACUGAACAUUGAGCCUUGAUGUGUAGGAUAGGUGGGAGGCUUUGAAGUGUGGACGCCAGUCUGCAUGGAGCCGGCCUUGAAAUACCACCCUUUAAUGUUUGAUGUUCUAACGUGGACCCGUGAUCCGGGUUGCGGACAGUGUCUGGUGGGUAGUUUGACUGGGGCGGUCUCCUCCUAAAGAGUAACGGAGGAGCACGAAGGUUGGCUAAUCCUGGUCGGACAUCAGGAGGUUAGUGCAAUGGCAUAAGCCAGCUUGACUGCGAGCGUGACGGCGCGAGCAGGUGCGAAAGCAGGUCAUAGUGAUCCGGUGGUUCUGAAUGGAAGGGCCAUCGCUCAACGGAUAAAAGGUACUCCGGGGAUAACAGGCUGAUACCGCCCAAGAGUUCAUAUCGACGGCGGUGUUUGGCACCUCGAUGUCGGCUCAUCACAUCCUGGGGCUGAAGUAGGUCCCAAGGGUAUGGCUGUUCGCCAUUUAAAGUGGUACGCGAGCUGGGUUUAGAACGUCGUGAGACAGUUCGGUCCCUAUCUGCCGUGGGCGCUGGAGAACUGAGGGGGGCUGCUCCUAGUACGAGAGGACCGGAGUGGACGCAUCACUGGUGUUCGGGUUGUCAUGCCAAUGGCACUGCCCGGUAGCUAAAUGCGGAAGAGAUAAGUGCUGAAAGCAUCUAAGCACGAAACUUGCCCCGAGAUGAGUUCUCCCUGAGACUUUAGGUCUCCUGAAGGAACGUUGAAGACGACGACGUUGAUAGGCCGGGUGUGUAAGCGCAGCGAUGCGUUGAGCUAACCGGUACUAAUGAACCGUGAGGCUUAACCUUACAACGCCGAAG
Molecule: ribosomal RNA, 2366 nt
Filed under: Salmonella enterica
Lineage: Bacteria; Pseudomonadati; Pseudomonadota; Gammaproteobacteria; Enterobacterales; Enterobacteriaceae
Also listed under: 1 other name
Description: bacterial LSU rRNA
Rfam family: Bacterial large subunit ribosomal RNA
Source: RNAcentral